This 74-nucleotide transfer RNA is filed under the name bacterium. RNAcentral's name for it is "tRNA-Val". It matches the Rfam family "tRNA". Rfam says of the family: Transfer RNA (tRNA) molecules are approximately 80 nucleotides in length. The record is from RNAcentral.
GGGCUCGUAGCUCAGUUGGUUAGAGCGCUUCAUUGACAUUGAAGAGGUCUCCAGUUCGAAUCUGGACGGGCCCA